Molecule: ribosomal RNA, 294 nt
Filed under: Spermophora sp. Mal2
Lineage: Eukaryota; Metazoa; Arthropoda; Arachnida; Araneae; Pholcidae
Description: partial 18S ribosomal RNA
Rfam family: Eukaryotic small subunit ribosomal RNA
Source: RNAcentral
CGUGUGCUUUCCCUGUCCGGCAGGACUGGGUAACCCGUUGAAUCUCCUUCGUGAUAGGGAUAGGGGCUUGUAAUUAUUCCCCUUGAACGAGGAAUUCCCAGUAAGCGCGAGUCAUCAGCUCGUGCUGAUUACGUACCUGGCCUUUGUGCACACCGCCCGUCGCUACUACCGAUUGAAUGAUUUAGUGAGGUCCUCGGACUGGCUGGCGUCUUCCGUCUCGUGCAGAGGUCGCUGUGCCGGAAAGAUGACCAAACUUGAUCAUUUAGAGGAAGUAAAAGUCGUAACAAGGUUGUC